CCCUCCAUACCUUUUUUGAAUUGCCCAACUUGAACUGUGAUGAUAGUAGGGACUUCAACCAAGCAGUUCAUGGUCCAUUACCUCUUGUCAGACGUCUGUUCAUGAAAAUAUGGCACUUUGAAAGCCGUUUAAGAGUUCAAAAUCGGAAAAACGUGAAAAGUAGCCAAAAUCAGGUGGGGGUGGGCAUCUGUUGAUGGCCACUACUUAACUGGUAGUCAUUGUAGGUAUACACUAUUAUCGUAAAUGCAUGCAUAGGUGGUAUAGGAACACAAAGAGGUAUAAUAUGGCCAAUAGGAAUCUAGUCUGUAAAAUCUAGGUCACCGUUUUGUCAAAAAUCCGUAAAAACGGACAUUUAGGCAGACCUGACUUGACGAUAAUAAUU
This 382-nucleotide long non-coding RNA is filed under the name Mytilus galloprovincialis (Mediterranean mussel). Lineage: Eukaryota; Metazoa; Mollusca; Bivalvia; Mytilida; Mytilidae. The record is from RNAcentral.